GAUGAACGCUGGCGGCGUGCUUAACACAUGCAAGUCGAACGGAAAGGCCAGUGCUUGCACUGGUACUCGAGUGGCGAACGGGUGAGUAACACGUGGGUGAUCUGCCCUGCACUUCGGGAUAAGCCUGGGAAACUGGGUCUAAUACCGGAUAGGACAAUGGUUUGGAUGCCGUUGUGGAAAGUUUUUUCGGUGUGGGAUGAGCUCGCGGCCUAUCAGCUUGUUGGUGGGGUAAUGGCCUACCAAGGCGUCGACGGGUAGCCGGCCUGAGAGGGUGUACGGCCACAUUGGGACUGAGAUACGGCCCAGACUCCUACGGGAGGCAGCAGGGGGGAAUAUUGCACAAUGGGCGCAAGCCUGAUGCAGCGACGCCGCGUGGGGGAUGACGGCCUUCGGGUUGUAAACUCCUUUCGCUAGGGACGAAGCGUAUUUGUGACGGUACCUGGAGAAGAAGCACCGGCUAACUACGUG
RNAcentral lists this ribosomal RNA (468 nucleotides) under uncultured bacterium. RNAcentral describes it as "partial 16S ribosomal RNA". It matches the Rfam family "Bacterial small subunit ribosomal RNA", at positions 28 to 507 of the family's 1533-position model. The record is from RNAcentral.